UUUAAUAUGGCAGAUUAGUGCUAUGAAUUUAAGAUUCAUAAAUAAAUAAUAAUAUAUUUUAUUAAAA
RNAcentral lists this transfer RNA (67 nucleotides) under Monomachus antipodalis. RNAcentral describes it as "tRNA-Leu". The record is from RNAcentral. Lineage: Eukaryota; Metazoa; Arthropoda; Insecta; Hymenoptera; Monomachidae.